CCUGGCUCAGGAUGAACGCUAGCGAUAGGCUUAACACAUGCAAGUCGAGGGGCAGCAUGGUCUUAGCUUGCUAAGACUGAUGGCGACCGGCGCACGGGUGCGUAACGCGUAUGCAACUUGCCUCACAGAGGGGGAUAACCCGUCGAAAGACGGACUAAUACCGCGUACACUUGGAGGGAGGCAUCUUCCACCAAGGAAAUGAAAUUCGCUGUGAGAUAGGCAUGCGUCCCAUUAGCUAGUUGGUGAGGUAACGGCUCACCAAGGCAACGAUGGGUAGGGGAACUGAGAGGUUGAACCCCCACACUGGGACUGAGACACGGCCCAGACUCCUACGG
RNAcentral lists this ribosomal RNA (335 nucleotides) under uncultured bacterium. RNAcentral's name for it is "bacterial SSU rRNA". It matches the Rfam family "Bacterial small subunit ribosomal RNA", at positions 18 to 344 of the family's 1533-position model. The record is from RNAcentral.